RNAcentral lists this ribosomal RNA (624 nucleotides) under uncultured bacterium. RNAcentral describes it as "bacterial SSU rRNA". It matches the Rfam family "Bacterial small subunit ribosomal RNA", at positions 36 to 692 of the family's 1533-position model. The record is from RNAcentral.
CUGGCGGCGUGCCUAACACAUGCAAGUCGAACGAGAAAGUGGAGCAAUCCAUGAGUAAAGUGGCGACCGGGUGAGUAACACGUGACUAACCUACCUCCGAGUGGGGAAUAACUCCGGGAAACCGGGGCUAAUACCGCAUAACAUCGCAAGAUCAAAGCAGCAAUGCGCUUGGAGAGGGGGUCGCGGCUGAUUAGCUUGUUGGCGGGGUAACGGCCCACCAAGGCGAAGAUCGGUAUCCGGCCUGAGAGGGCGCACGGACACACUGGAACUGAAAUACGGUCCAGACUCCUACGGGAGGCAGCAGUGGGGAAUUUUGCGCAAUGGGGGAAACCCUGACGCAGCAACGCCGCGUGGAGGAUGAAGCCCUUUGGGGCGUAAACUCCUUUCGACUCGGACGAUAAUGACGGUACGAGUGGAAGAAGCACCGGCUAACUCUGUGCCAGCAGCCGCGGUAAUACAGAGGGUGCGAGCGUUGUUCGGAAUUAUUGGGCGUAAAGGGCGCGUAGGCGGUGCGGUAAGUCACCUGUGAAAUCUCCUGGCUUAACUGGGAGCCUGCAGGCGAAACUACCGUGCUGGAGUGUGGGAGAGGUGCGUGGAAUUCCCGGUGUAGCGGUGAAAUGCGUA